This 468-nucleotide ribosomal RNA is filed under the name uncultured bacterium. RNAcentral describes it as "partial 16S ribosomal RNA". It matches the Rfam family "Bacterial small subunit ribosomal RNA", at positions 28 to 507 of the family's 1533-position model. The record is from RNAcentral.
GACGAACGCUGGCGGCGUGCUUAACACAUGCAAGUCGAACGGAAAGGCCCUGCUUUUGUGGGGUGCUCGAGUGGCGAACGGGUGAGUAACACGUGAGUAACCUGCCCUUGACUUUGGGAUAACUUCAGGAAACUGGGGCUAAUACCGGAUAGGAGCUCCUGCUGCAUGGUGGGGGUUGGAAAGUUUCGGCGGUUGGGGAUGGACUCGCGGCUUAUCAGCUUGUUGGUGGGGUAGUGGCUUACCAAGGCUUUGACGGGUAGCCGGCCUGAGAGGGUGACCGGCCACAUUGGGACUGAGAUACGGUCCAGACUCGUACGGGAGGCAGCAGUGGGGAAUAUUGCACAAUGGGCGGAAGCCUGAUGCAGCAACGCCGCGUGCGGGAUGACGGCCUUCGGGUUGUAAACCGCUUUCGCCUGUGACGAAGCGUGAGUGACGGUAAUGGGUAAAGAAGCACCGGCUAACUACGUG